AUGAAAAUACAACAAAAGUAAGAAAAAACUGAACAACACAAAAGAUAAAAACAUGUCGACAUUUUGAGCCUAAGUGUCUGAGGGAGCGAGGCUGUCAUUUUGUAAACACAGGAAGGCGGGCAGGAAAUCUUUAGCAAUGGCUACCCUAGAAGACCGUAUUUUGGGAGAGAAGCUUCAUUACUACUGCAGCAGCUCGGAAGAUGAAGAAGAAGAGGAAGAGGAAGAGGAGGAGGAGGGGGGAAGAGGGAAGCACCAGGAGGAGGGGAGGAAGUCUUGCCCCCCGCCGGAGAGAGGGGGGUGGGAGGGGUCUUCUACUAAUACGGGGCCCAAGGGGGUGCUGAAGGACUGGCAGCGGUUUAAGCAGCUGGAGGCGGAGAGGCGGGUGGAGCAGGAGAGGGAACGUGUGCUGCUGGCUAAGAAGCUCGCCAUGUCCUGCCGAUCUCAUCUGGAUGAUGAGAAGGAGAAGGAGGAGAAGAAGAAGAGUGAGGAGGAGGAGGAGGCACUGCUGGAGGAGGCUUUCCUGCGUCAGUACAUUUCAAAGAGGAUGGAGGAGAUGAUGGCAAAGACUAACAAGAGAGCAACUUUUGGCCGCCUCAUUCACCUGGAGAGUCGCGACGGAUUCCUGGAUGCAAUAGACAAGGAGAGCGAGGAUGUGACGGUUAUCAUCCAUAUCUUUGAGAAGGGUGUGCCAGGGUGCAGUGCCAUGACAGGGUGCCUCGGGUGUGUGGCGCAGGACUACCCCUAUGUCAAGUUUUGCACCCUGCCGGCAUCCGUAGCAGGGGUCAGCGCCAACUUUAAAGCUGGGGGGUGCCCGGCGCUGCUGGUGUACAGGGCGGGUCAGCUGGUGGGGAACUUUGUACGGCUGACAGACGAGUUCUCGGAUGACUUCUACGCAACGGAUGUGGAGUCCUUUCUGAUUGAACAUGGCAUCCUGGUGGACCGCUCCCUCAUUCCGCCGGGCAUCCGUGGACCGGCGGACGGCAGCGACGAGGAUGGUGACAGUGACUUCAGCCUGGAUGACUAGAGUGUGUCUGUCUGUGUGUCGGGUUCUCUGCGUUGAUGCCUUGCCCUCAUUUUGUUUUUUAAGAUGCAUUUUUUAUUUUUUUCUUCAAAGAUGCUUUUUUUUUUCUUUGGUAUCUUUUUGUAUUGUUUUAUUUUGUAAGGAUGUUCUUUUCUUUUAUCUUGUUGUUCUUAUUCAUGUAUUUAUUCUUUCUUCUUUAUCCUUUUUAAUUUCUUUUUUCAUCUAUCAUUUUUGUGUUUUCCUCAUUUUUAUUCUGUAUUGUUAUAUUAUGUUAUCCUUUUUAGUAUUAUUAUGUUUUGUUUUGUCUAUAUUUCUUUGUCUUUUUAUCUUGUUCUUAUUCAUAUUCAUGUAUUCUUUCUUUUUUUUGUUUUGUUUAUAUUUCUUUGUCUUUUCAUCUUGUUUUUAUUCAUGUAUUCUUUCUUCUCUAUCCUUUCUUUCUUCUCUAUCCUUUCUAUUUCUUUUCAUUUUUAUCCUUUUCUUUUUUUGUCUAUUGUUUGUCACCUUUGUUUUUCUUUUUCCUCUUGUCCUUUUACUUCCUUUCCUUCCUCUUACCUUGCACCUCUUGAAAAUUCUCCUUUUAUUGUUUUGUCUCUAAAUUCUAAGUUAUAUGGACCAUUUUAUACUUAAAUAUUUAGUUACUCCCUCUCAUCAGUAGGAAUGUGUGUGUGUGUGUGUGUGUGUGUGUGUGUGUGAUGAGGACCACUGGGUUGCAAGAUGAGAGAGGGAGUGAUUGUAGUUGUAGUGUAGCCAAACUUACAAACCUCAAACCUGUAUGGAUAGAUUUGUAAUUCCUUAUUCAUACCACACUUGUACUUGUGAACCAGCUGGAGCUUGGAGUGGUAGGUGGUGAGGAGAGGGAGGAGUGAGUAACGUGUCUGGGUGUUGGGGGGAGGUAAUGGUGGAAGGGGAUGGGGGAUGUUGGGGGGAUAACUGGGUGUGGGGUGUUUCCGGAGGUAAUGGUGAUGGGGAUGUUGGGGGAGAGGGGUGACGGUGAUGGGAGGAUGUUCGGGGGGAGGUAUGGUGAAGAAUGUUGGUAAUGUUGAAGGUCAAGGGGUCAGUCAGGGGUCAAUCAUGGUGGUGGCAAGGUAGGGAGGGGGGAGGGAUGAAAUGGAAAGGUAUUCAAAUGUGUGUUGUGGAGGCAAGACUGGAGGAGUGUCGAGAUCUGUACGGCGCAUCACAGCCUCACCUCAGCUCAGCCUACGGGGUGUUUAGGGCCUGUGCGUUUGUAUGUUCCUUUACUUACCUUAUCUGUCAUUCGCCCCAUGUAUUGUUCUAACCCCGCCCAGUCACUCGUGGUCGUCUGUCAGCCUCGCCUCGGGCUGUGCUCCACAAACCAAAUUUAACUAAUAUCUAGUCAGGUACUUUUUUGUAGCUGGAAGUUUUGACUACAUAAAGAAUUGAUCGCCAAAAA
RNA transcript from Scylla paramamosain (green mud crab), 2432 nucleotides. It is a transcript of the gene named phosducin-like protein, with no coding region annotated. NCBI's taxonomy places the organism in Eukaryota, Metazoa, Arthropoda, Malacostraca, Decapoda, Portunidae. The record is from RefSeq and is a predicted model, not a curated record. The transcript is spliced from 9 exons.